AGGACGACGCUGGGCGGCGUGCUUAACACAUGCAAGUCGAACGGAAAGGCCUGCAGCUUGCUGCGGGUACUCGAGUGGCGAACGGGUGAGUAACAUGUGGGUGAUCUGCCUUGCACUUCGGGAUAAGCUUGGGAAACUGGGUCUAAUACCGGAUAGGACAGCUGUUUAGUGUCAGUUGUGGAAAGUUUUUUCGGUGCAAGAUGAGCUCGCGGCCUAUCAGCUUGUUGGUGGGGUAAUGGCCUACCAAGGCGUCGACGGGUAGCCGGCCUGAGAGGGUGUACGGCCACAUUGGGACUGAGAUACGGCCCAGACUCCUACGGGAGGCAGCAGUGGGGAAUAUUGCACAAUGGGCGGAAGCCUGAUGCAGCGACGCCGCGUGGGGGAUGAAGGCCUUCGGGUUGUAAACUCCUUUCGACAGGGACGAAGCGUAAGUGACGGUACCUGUAUAAGAAGCACCGGCUAACUACGUGCCAGCAGCCGCGGUAAUACGUAGGGUGCGAGCGUUGUCCGGAAUUACUGGGCGUAAAGAGCUCGUAGGUGGUUUGUCGCGUCGUCUGUGAAAUUCCGGGGCUUAACUCCGGGCGUGCAGGCGAUACGGGCUGACUUGAGUGCUGUAGGGGAGACUGGAAUUCCUGGUGUAGCGGUGAAAUGCGCAGAUAUCAGGAGGAACACCGAUGGCGAAGGCAGGUCUCUGGGCAGUAACUGACGCUGAGGAGCGAAAGCAUGGGUAGCGAACAGGAUUAGAUACCCUGGUAGUCCAUGCCGUAAACGGUGGGCGCUAGGUGUAGGGGGCUUCCACGUCUUCUGUGCCGCAGCUAACGCAUUUAGCGCCCCCGCCUGGGGGAGUACGGCCGCAAGG
This 859-nucleotide ribosomal RNA is filed under the name uncultured Actinomycetes bacterium. RNAcentral's name for it is "bacterial SSU rRNA". It matches the Rfam family "Bacterial small subunit ribosomal RNA", at positions 26 to 893 of the family's 1533-position model. The record is from RNAcentral. Lineage: Bacteria; Bacillati; Actinomycetota; Actinomycetes.